CCUGGACCCACAGAACCUCACCUUCGGGUAUUUCCAACCCCAAACCCCCUACCAGAGCAGACCGCUCCCAACGCUAACACACAAGUUAAUGGUGAUACGUAGGUCAAAUACACACUUUUCACAGGAGGAUCUAUCAUACUUCUACACAUCACAGGCACUCCACGUAUGGCUCCUCUUGACCCCCAGGACUUCUAGUCCUACUUAAAAUUCACCUGGUACCUCUCGGACACCCACAACCCAAACAGCACCCCAAAAGCAAAGAGUCUACUUCUCCUAUACAAUUCCCCACAGGGAUCAACGACAGAGGCCUUCCCAAAAAUAAAACCUCUCUCACACGGGCAAAACACCAAAAUAUUCAACACUGAACCUAACCUUAGCCAUUCUAACUUUGACCUUAACCCUAGCCUGAAUAACUCCAACCCUAACUGUUACUAUCCUAACCCCAACCCUAAUUUUAAACCUUCACCUUAACCAUCCUACUCUAAAUCUAGCCCUGACCAUUCUUAUUUGGACCUCAACCUUAGCCUUAAACCACUCCAACUCUAACCUUGGCCAAUCCAACCCCUACCACCCCUAACACCGUCUCUGACCUUAGCCCUGGCCCCUAACCCGAACUGCAGCCCCAGUUCUAACCCCUCUGUGUGUGUGUGUGUGUGUGUGUAUACAUGUAUCUGUACCUGACCUCAUGUUGUUAACCCUGUCUGUCCCUUACAAUGUAUUGUGUCUUCUGUUUUGUCACACUCCACUCUUCAUUUAUACCAAAUAACAUUUGAAAAGCUUGUGUCACUACAAGGUUGAACAUUUAUCACAUUGGGUCUCCAUUGUAUUAUUAUUAGAUGUGCUUGACCUCCACUCUAACUACCCAUCCACUUUACUGCAUCCCCAUCCCACUCUCACCUUGGUCUGAUUCCUCCACACCACAACCUGUUAGCGGCUGUCCUACCUAGUUACAGUACAGACCAAUCGAAAUAACCUAGACCGCAUUCCCACACGCGCGCACACACCGGAGAGUUAGCUCUCCUCACAGCUUCACGAGACCACCGGACAGUUAGCAUUUCGCUCCACACAUCCAACCAGGACUACAUUCAAGGCAAGUAAAUUACACAGUACACCCUACGGUACAUGUAGAUAUACAUACAUACAUUUUUACUACUUUUUGCACCUUUUAUUUCAAUUUUAUUUGUAUAUUCUCCUCCCUGCUACCUGAUGAAGCCGAGUAGGCAGAAACGCGUCGUGGCUGGGUUUCCCCUAGACCCGUGUGAGACUGUAAGGAAGGCAGAUUCCACACGGACUUCGGGGUUGGGUUUCCCAGCAAGGGUUCCGGCUAUUGGUUCUUUACCAUGGCAGUGCCAGUACACAAUCGUUUCCAGGCUCUAGUUAACCUACAUGAUCAGGCAGGUAUGGUAAGACAGGUGAAUAAAUUGGCGGCCUUUAUUAAACCCUCCUCGCCCAACCAACAGACUCUGGCAAAGCAGGCUAAAUCCAGUUAUGCGGCUGCAGUGACUAGCAAGUCACCGACUGGCAGGGCCUUAAUGGGAGCCAAGGCCCAUAGGGACUCUGGAAUAUGCAGGAAUACUCCAGGGGGAUCGAGUGACAACUCGGACCUGCAAAGAGUGGAGGGGCUAGCUUCAGACUUACCCCAACAAUCAAGAAGAGUAAGGAGAUAUUUAAUCCCCAAACUCAACGACCAAGAGAGAAUCUGGCCCCACCUAAAGUCCCAGCCUUGAUAAUCCCAGGUUCACAACAAGAUAACCAGCAGGGUACGGUAGCAAUGGAAAACGGAAAAGAAACGGAACCUGGGACAGAACUAAUACUGGAACCUGUAAAAAGGGAUACACUUUUUUAUCCCACAUGUCAUUCUAGAACUGAAAGGAAAAUAAAUGAUUGGAGUAUUGAGAUUACAAAACCCGUGGUUUUUAUUGGGGAUUCCAACCUUGCGCGCAUUCCUAGCUUUACGGACACUAACACACAGAUAGACAGCUUUCCGGGAGCAACCUUUAGACAUAUUGCAGGAGUGAUAGGCAAGUUGGGGAAACAGGAAAACACACAGAAGGUGGUUCUAUCAGUGGGUCUUGUCAAUGGCUUGAACCAGCAGUACUCAACUGCAGUCAA
Molecule: long non-coding RNA, 2112 nt
Organism: Oncorhynchus gorbuscha (pink salmon)
Lineage: Eukaryota; Metazoa; Chordata; Actinopteri; Salmoniformes; Salmonidae
Exons: 6
Source: RefSeq, a predicted model, not a curated record